Zootermopsis nevadensis is the source of this 520-nucleotide long non-coding RNA. RefSeq lists it as uncharacterized. The record is from RefSeq and is a predicted model, not a curated record. NCBI's taxonomy places the organism in Eukaryota, Metazoa, Arthropoda, Insecta, Blattodea, Termopsidae.
UGAAGCAAUUUUAGCAAGCAGAGAACCUGAAGCCCUUGAACACAGACGAGUAUUUGAGCGUCAAACUAUCCAGCCUAUCGGAACGGCAGCAAUAGUCAGCUGUAUGUAACGUGGAGUGAACUGCCUUGUAGCUAAGCAAUGCAGCAUGGGGAGUUUCACGUUAACCAUUCUGCUGAGUAUCCUUGUAUUAGCAGUCGUAUUGCUAAAUAUUGCCACUUCUGAAGUAGUUGUUAUCAAAAUUCGAGACAGAGUGAAGAUACAAAGAGGGCACCACUAGUAGCAGAAUUUCGUGGCAUCGUAUGCAAAUUUCACAUCUGAGGCCACUCAGCUGUGGAAAAUACAGCUCUCAGCCCUAUUGUAUUUCUAAUGGAUUUCCAGCUACUUAAACUGAAGCUUGUGUAAACUGCAAAAUAACUGAAUGCAUAUAACAUCAUAAGCUAAACAUGAAGCUGAGUUACAAUGUUUAACUAAUUUAAAAACAGUCUUGCUCAGAAACUGAUCAAUAAAAAUAUACAUCCUA